Cynoglossus semilaevis (tongue sole) is the source of this 134-nucleotide small nucleolar RNA. NCBI's taxonomy places the organism in Eukaryota, Metazoa, Chordata, Actinopteri, Pleuronectiformes, Cynoglossidae. The record is from Ensembl.
UUGGCACCAAUCAAGACCGUCAGCUUGCAGUAGCUGCUGGUUUCAAAGGGAGCCUACAUGAACUCCUUCCCAUGGUCUGUUGAUUUUUCCCAGAGUUGUAAAGGGGUUAAUCAAUUCAGUUGGAAGGGACAAAA